RNAcentral lists this ribosomal RNA (492 nucleotides) under uncultured bacterium. Its description in RNAcentral is "partial 16S ribosomal RNA". It matches the Rfam family "Bacterial small subunit ribosomal RNA", at positions 29 to 507 of the family's 1533-position model. The record is from RNAcentral.
AGUGAACGCUGGCGGUAGGCCUAACACAUGCAAGUCGAACGGCAGCACAGUAAGAGCUUGCUCUUACGGGUGGCGAGUGGCGGACGGGUGAGGAAUACAUCGGAAUCUACUUUUUCGUGGGGGAUAACGUAGGGAAACUUACGCUAAUAGCGCAUACGACCUACGGGUGGAAGCAGGGGAUCUUCGGACCUUGCGCGAUUGAAUGAGCCGAUGUCGGAUUAGCUAGUUGGCGGGGUAAAGGCCCACCAAGGCGACGAUCCGUAGCUGGUCUGAGAGGAUGAUCAGCCACACUGGAACUGAGACACGGUCCAGACUCCUACGGGAGGCAGCAGUGGGGAAUCUUGCACAAUGGGCGCAAGCCUGAUCCAGCCAUGCCGCGUGGGUGAAGAAGGCCUUCGGAUUGUAAAGCCCUUUUGUUGGGAAAGAAAAGCAGCAGGUUAAUACCCCGCUGUUCUGACGGUACCCAAAGAAUAAGCCCCGGCUAACUUCGUG